RNAcentral lists this ribosomal RNA (301 nucleotides) under uncultured bacterium. RNAcentral describes it as "partial 16S ribosomal RNA". It matches the Rfam family "Bacterial small subunit ribosomal RNA", at positions 509 to 807 of the family's 1533-position model. The record is from RNAcentral.
CAGCAGCCACGGUAAUACGGAGUGUGCAAGCGUUAAUCGGAAUUACUGGGCGUAAAGCGCACGCAGGCGGUCUGACAAGUCAGAUGUGAAAUCCCCGGGCUUAACCUGGGAACUGCAUUUGAAACUGUCAGACUGGAGUCUUGUAGAGGGGGGUAGAGUUCCAGGUGUAGCGGUGAAAUGCGUAGAGAUCUGGAGGAAUACCGGUGGCGAAGGCGGCCCCCUGGACAAAGACUGACGCUCAGGUGCGAAAGCGUGGGGAGCAAACAGGAUUAGAUACCCGCGUAGUCCCUGUCUCUUAUAC